RNAcentral lists this ribosomal RNA (542 nucleotides) under uncultured Hypocreaceae. RNAcentral's name for it is "eukaryotic LSU rRNA". The stretch from base 177 to 330 matches the Rfam family "5.8S ribosomal RNA". The record is from RNAcentral. Lineage: Eukaryota; Fungi; Ascomycota; Sordariomycetes; Hypocreales.
AACGUUANNNNNNNNUUGCCUCGGCGGGAUCUUCUGCCCCGGGUGCGUCGCAGCCCCGGACCAAGGCGCCCGCCGGAGGAAUCAACCAAAACUCUUAUUGUAUACCCCCUCGCGGGUUUUUUUUUAUAAUCUGAGCCUUCUCGGCGCCUCUCGUAGGCGUUUCGAAAAUGAAUCAAAACUUUCAACAACGGAUCUCUUGGUUCUGGCAUCGAUGAAGAACGCAGCGAAAUGCGAUAAGUAAUGUGAAUUGCAGAAUUCAGUGAAUCAUCGAAUCUUUGAACGCACAUUGCGCCCGCCAGUAUUCUGGCGGGCAUGCCUGUCCGAGCGUCAUUUCAACCCUCGAACCCCUCCGGGGGGUUGGCGUUGGGGAUCGGCCUUCCUUCACGGGGGCCGUCUCCGAAAUACAGUGGCGGUCUCGCCGCAGCCUCUCCUGCGCAGUAGUUUGCACACUCGCAUCGGGAGCGCGGCGCGUCCACAGCCGUUAAACACCCAACUUUCUGAAAUGUUGACCUCGGAUCAGGUAGGAAUACCCGCUGAACUUA